AGGGCUACUACACCGAGGUUAUCAAAUAAACGUGAUACAAUGCAGCGUAGGCUGUCAUAAGCGUUGUCUCUUUCCUGCCUUGCCUUGGACGAGGAAGGCGGUGUAUUAACAGUGUUCAUUUGACCAACAAGUUCAUCUACGAACAUCAGGCAAAAUGGUGAACUUCACAGUGGACCAGAUUCGUGCGAUCAUGGACAAGAAGUCCAACAUCCGUAACAUGUCUGUGAUCGCUCACGUGGACCACGGCAAGUCCACGCUGACUGACUCCCUGGUGUCUAAAGCCGGGAUCAUUGCAGGGUCUCGCGCCGGAGAGACUCGCUUCACAGACACACGCAAAGACGAGCAGGAGCGGUGCAUUACCAUCAAGUCCACGGCCAUCUCUAUGUACUAUGAGCUGGGGGAAAAUGACAUGGCCUUCAUCAAGCAGACUAAGGAUGGGCUUGGUUUCCUCAUCAAUCUGAUCGACUCCCCGGGCCACGUGGACUUCUCCUCUGAGGUCACAGCCGCCCUCAGGGUCACAGACGGCGCACUGGUGGUGGUCGACUGUGUCUCAGGUGUGUGUGUGCAGACAGAGACUGUGUUGAGGCAGGCCAUUGCAGAGCGCAUCAAGCCGGUGCUGAUGAUGAACAAGAUGGACCGGGCCCUGCUGGAGCUGCAGCUGGAGCCUGAGGACCUGUUCCAGACAUUCCAGCGCAUCGUGGAGAAUGUCAACGUCAUCAUCGCCACCUAUGGAGAGGAUGAAGCAGGACCAAUGGGUGCCAUUAUGAUUGACCCUGUGAUCGGUACCGUAGGGUUUGGGUCUGGCCUCCACGGCUGGGCCUUCACCCUCAAGCAGUUUGCUGAGAUGUACGUGGCCAAGUUUUCUGCUGGCAAAGACACCCAGUUGGGACCAGCAGAGCGAUGUAAGAAGGUGGAGGACAUGAUGAAGAAGCUAUGGGGAGAGAGGUUUUUUGACCCAGCCACUGGGAAGUUCAGUAAGACUGCCACUGGCCCCGAUGGUAAAAAGCUUCCCCGCACCUUCUCUCAACUCGUGCUGGAUCCAAUCUUCAAGGUAUUCGAUGCCGUCAUGAACUUCAAGAAGGACGAGACGGCCAAGCUGAUAGAGAAGCUGGACAUCAAGCUGGACACGGAGGACAAGGAGAAGGAGGGCAAGCCCCUACUGAAGGCAGUGAUGCGUCGCUGGCUCCCAGCCGGAGAGGCUCUGCUCCAGAUGAUCACCAUCCACCUGCCCUCCCCCGUCACCGCCCAGAAGUACCGCUGUGAGCUGCUUUAUGAGGGUCCAGGAGACGACGAGGCCGCCAUGGGUAUCAAGAACUGUGACCCCAAGGCACCUCUGAUGAUGUACAUCUCUAAGAUGGUGCCCACAACAGAUAAAGGUCGCUUCUACGCUUUCGGCCGUGUCUUCUCUGGCUGUGUGUCCACCGGUCUGAAGGUGCGCAUCAUGGGACCAAACUUCACCCCCGGGAAGAAGGAAGACCUCUACAUCAAACCCAUCCAGAGGACCAUUCUGAUGAUGGGGCGCUACGUAGAGCCCAUUGAGGAUGUACCAUGUGGAAACAUUGUUGGUCUGGUUGGAGUAGACCAGUAUCUGAUUAAGACGGGGACCAUCACCACCUUUGAACAGGCCCACAACAUGCGUGUGAUGAAAUUCAGCGUUAGCCCCGUGGUGAGAGUGGCUGUGGAGGCCAAGAACCCAGCUGACCUGCCCAAGCUGGUGGAGGGCCUGAAGCGUCUGGCCAAGUCUGACCCCAUGGUGCAGUGUAUCAUCGAGGAGUCUGGCGAGCACAUCAUCGCCGGGGCCGGAGAGCUCCACCUGGAGAUCUGUCUCAAGGAUCUGGAGGAGGACCACGCUGGCAUUCCACUGAAGAAAUCAGACCCGGUGGUGUCCUACAGGGAGACUGUGUCUGAGGAGUCUGAAGUGAUGUGCCUGUCCAAGUCCCCCAACAAGCACAACCGUCUGUACAUGCGUGCCAAACCAUUCCCUGACGGCCUGGCCGAGGACAUAGAGAAGGGUGACGUCAGCCCCCCGGCAGGAGCUCAAGAUCCGUGCCCGCUUCCUGGCUGACAAGUACGAGUGGGACGUGUCGGAGGCCCGUAAGAUCUGGUGCUUUGGUCCCGACGGCACCGGGCCCAACCUGCUGAUGGACGUGACCAAGGGAGUCCAGUACCUGAACGAGAUCAAGGACAGCGUGGUGGCCGGCUUCCAGUGGGCUGUCAAGGAGGGUGUGCUGUGCGAGGAGAACAUGCGUGCGAUCCGCUUUGACAUCCACGACGUGACCCUGCACACAGAUGCCAUUCACCGCGGUGGCGGACAGAUCAUCCCUACCGCCCGCAGAGUGCUGUAUGCUUGCCAGCUCACUGCACAGCCAAGACUCAUGGAGCCUGUCUACCUGGUCGAGAUCCAGUGCCCAGAGCAGGUAGUGGGCGGGAUCUACGGCGUGCUGAACAGGAAGCGAGGUCACGUGUUCGAGGAGUCCCAGGUGAUGGGCACGCCCAUGUUCAUCGUCAAGGCCUAUCUUCCUGUCAAUGAGUCAUUCGGUUUCACAGCUGACCUGCGCUCCAACACAGGUGGCCAGGCCUUCCCCCAGUGUGUGUUUGACCACUGGCAGAUCCUCCAGGGGGACCCCCAGGACCUACCACCAAGACUGCCAUUGUGGUGGCAGAGACCAGGAAACGCAAGGGACUCAAAGAGGGCAUCCCCGCCCUAGACAACUACCUGGACAAACUGUAAAUGCUAAUUCUGAAUCCCAAAUGGACCCCUAGACACAACAACCCCCUCUAGGCACUACAAUUUAAGUUGUUGGCUAGGCAUAAGCAAUAUGGGGUAGAUUUCACCUAGCCUAUCAGAGGGUAAUGUGGAUCUGUAAGUAUAUUGCUUAUGGUAUACCGAUCUGACCCUUUCAGAUCUACAGUGCCUAAAGGAAUGGACUAGGGGUUGGUUUGGAAUUUAGUGGAUGUCUGACCAUUCCUCCCCCCAUUCCUUCUAUUCCUCCACUGUACGAGUGAGGGAUGGGACUGUACAGUGCGCAAUGGCGCUUGCCUAAAUGGAAACCUGGUGAAAAUAAACCAAGGAUACAAAUGUGUAAAUCAUAAUAAAGAUUAAUAGAAAUUGUA
RNA transcript from Oncorhynchus gorbuscha (pink salmon), 3114 nucleotides. It is a transcript of the gene named elongation factor 2-like, with no coding region annotated. The record is from RefSeq and is a predicted model, not a curated record. Lineage: Eukaryota; Metazoa; Chordata; Actinopteri; Salmoniformes; Salmonidae. The transcript is spliced from 14 exons.